RNAcentral lists this ribosomal RNA (745 nucleotides) under uncultured archaeon. RNAcentral describes it as "bacterial SSU rRNA". It matches the Rfam family "Archaeal small subunit ribosomal RNA", at positions 51 to 800 of the family's 1478-position model. The record is from RNAcentral.
AUGCGAGUCGAGAGGGGUUAAGCCCUCGGCGAACUGCUCAGUAACACGUGGGUAAUCUACCCUCAGGACAGGGAUAACCCCGGGAAACUGGGGAUAAUACCUGAUAGGUGAAGAUGUCUGGAACGAUUCUUCGCUCAAAGCUCCGGCGCCUGAGGAUGAGCCUGCGGCUGAUUAGGUUGUUGGCGGUGUAACGGACCACCAAGCCUGAGAUCGGUACGGGCGUUGAGAGACGUAGCCCGGAGAUGGGGACUGAGACACGGCCCCAGGCCCUACGGGGCGCAGCAGGCGCGAAAACUCCGCAAUACACGAAAGUGUGACGGGGGAACCCCAAGUGCACUCACAUUAGUGAGUGCUUUUAUGAAGCGUAAAUAGCUUCAGGAAUAAGAGCUGGGUAAGACCGGUGCCAGCCGCCGCGGUAACACCGGCAGCUCGAGUGGUGAUCACUAUUAUUGGGCCUAAAGCGUCCGUAGCCUGUUUGGUAAGUCCUUGGGCAAAUCCUACUGCUUAACGGUAGGAAUUCUGGGGAUACUGCCAGACUUGAGGUCGAGAGAGGUCGGAGGUACUUCUGGGGUAGCGGUGAAAUGCUAUAAUCCUAGGGGGACCACCAGUGGCGAAGGCGUCCGACCAGAGCGUGCCUGACGGUGAGGGACGAAAGCCAGGGGCGCGAACGGGAUUAGAUACCCCGGUAGUCCUGGCCGUAAACGCUGUGGGCUAGGUGUUGCAUGCUCUACGAGGGCAUGCAGUG